RNAcentral lists this ribosomal RNA (485 nucleotides) under uncultured bacterium. Its description in RNAcentral is "partial 16S ribosomal RNA". It matches the Rfam family "Bacterial small subunit ribosomal RNA", at positions 29 to 523 of the family's 1533-position model. The record is from RNAcentral.
AGUGAACGCUGGCGGCGUGCUUAACACAUGCAAGUCGAACGAGAACGGAAUAUAGCUUGCUAUAUUUGUCAGCUAAGUGGCGCACGGGUGAGUAAUAUAUAGAUAACCUGCCCUUAAGAAAGGAAUAACAGUUGGAAACGACUGCUAAUGCCCUAUAUGCCUUUAUUACAUAAGUAUGCAAGGGAAACGCUUUAGUGCUCAAGGAUGGGUUUGUAUGGUAUCAGCUUGUUGGUGAGGUAAUGGCUCACCAAGGCUAUGACGCCUAACUGGUUUGAGAGGAUGAUCAGUCACACUGGAACUGAGACACGGUCCAGACUCCUACGGGAGGCAGCAGUGGGGAAUAUUGCACAAUGGACGAAAGUCUGAUGCAGCAACGCCGCGUGGAGGAUGACACAUUUCGGUGCGUAAACUCCUUUUAUAUAGGAAGAUAAUGACGGUACUAUAUGAAUAAGCACCGGCUAACUCCGUGCCAGCAGCCGCAGUAA